Molecule: ribosomal RNA, 462 nt
Filed under: Carlia bicarinata
Lineage: Eukaryota; Metazoa; Chordata; Lepidosauria; Squamata; Scincidae
Description: partial 16S ribosomal RNA
Rfam family: Bacterial large subunit ribosomal RNA
Source: RNAcentral
GUAUUAAAGGUGUUGCCUGCCCAGUGAAUCAUUUUCAACGGCCGCGGUAUCCUAACCGUGCAAAGGUAGCGUAAUCACUUGUCUUUUAAAUAAAGACUCGUAUGAAAGGCUAAAUGAGGACGAAACUGUCUCUUAUAGUUGACCAGUUAAACUGAUCUUCAAGUACAAAAGCUUGAAUAAACACAUAAGACGAGAAGACCCUGUGGAGCUUAAAACUAACCCUAUCACAACAAUAAUAGCAUAAGUUUUAAGUUGGGGCGACUUCGGAACAAAACAAAACUUCCGAGCACAGAGUCAACUACUCUAACCUAGACCCACAAGUCAAAAACACAACGACCCAGUCCUACUGAUCAACGAACCAAGUUACCCCAGGGAUAACAGCGCUAUCUUCUUCAAGAGUCCAUAUCGACAAGAAGGUUUACGACCUCGAUGUUGGAUCAGGACACCCAAAUGGUGCAGCAG